Molecule: ribosomal RNA, 483 nt
Filed under: uncultured bacterium
Lineage: Bacteria
Description: bacterial SSU rRNA
Rfam family: Bacterial small subunit ribosomal RNA
Source: RNAcentral
AUUGAACGCUGGCGGCAUGCCUAACACAUGCAAGUCGAACGGGGGCAGCAAUGCCCUAGUGGCGGACGGGUGAGGAAUACGUAGGAACCGGCCCACGAGUGGGGGACAACCUGGGGAAACCCAGGCUAAUACCGCAUACGCUCGCGAGAGGAAAGCGGGGGGGACCUUCGGGCCUCGCGCUGGUGGACGGGCCUACGUCCGAUUAGCUUGUUGGUGGGGUAAAAGCCUACCAAGGCGACGAUCGGUAGCUGAUCUGAGAGGAUGAUCAGCCACACUGGGACUGAGACACGGCCCAGACUCCUACGGGAGGCAGCAGUGGGGAAUAUUGGACAAUGGGCGCAAGCCUGAUCCAGCAAUGCCGCGUGGGUGAAGAAGGCCUGCGGGUUGUAAAGCCCUUUAAGCGGGGAGGAAAGACCGGGGGGUGAAUAGCGCUCGGGGUGACGGUUACCGCAGAAUAAGCACCGGCUAACUCCGUGCCAGCAG